AACCCCCCUCAAAUCUUCUUUUUUUUGUGAAAAAGAUUUGGAUUUGAGCGAUCCUAACGUAUUUUUUUUAAAAAAAAAAGUAUGGCAGGUCUCUUGAAAUAAAGGUACAGCUGAACUUUCUUCUGAGCUAAAAGCAUAUUUAUUUAGUCCUGCUUUGCGGCUGGAUUAUUACUUUUGCUGCAGCUAACAUAAAGGUUGAUUGUUCUUAUGCUGACUGAUACAGGAAAUUUAUCAGUGAAGCGUGUGCAAGCGCGCGAAACUGUGAA
Molecule: unclassified non-coding RNA, 266 nt
Filed under: uncultured fungus
Lineage: Eukaryota; Fungi
Description: sequence contains ITS2
Source: RNAcentral